AUGGGUAGACGGGCAGCUGAUCACACCACUCCAGUGCCAGUUCUAGGAGAGCCUGCACUUGUAGGAACACGCAUUUGGAGGAGCGUGGCAAAUGGGACCAGUAGUAUGGCUGCCCUGACACUGUCUCAUCACUGUAAUGUCGGUGUGCAAACAUCACCUGCAAUGAGAAACAACCAACUACAGCUAAACGGCAAACAUGUGGAUGCUUGUAGAAGUCGAUCAGAAAAUAAAGUGAUCAUCCCACCUAAUGGCCACAUCCCAAACAAAGCUGGUAAAAAGGAGGAUAAUGGGAAAGAAAAAACGAAAAGUAUAAUUUCUAAACACAAAAGUCUGGAGACUAAAAUGAAAAAGGGUGUGACUUUUGAGGGAUUGGAGAGGGAUAUUUAUAAAAACAUUAGGGAAGGAAUUCAGUGCCAUAAUUGUGCAACCAGAACCAGUCCUCCAUUGGGUGUGGAUAACAGCAAGUUAAAACAAAGAAGGAAAUGUCACUUCACCAAUGGGAGCGUGGUUGACUCAGAGGUAAUAGGUGGGAUCAGCAGUGAAAGCUGUAAAGGGGAGGAGUCUACCACAGGAAAGAAAAAAAUGUUACCUACUCACUCACCUCCUCACAGACCUCCUGUGACCAUCUGCAGCACUUGUGGAGGAAGACAGAAUCCAGCACCUCCUGGACUCUACAGCCAAAUAAGGAUGAUUACACAGCCAACUUCUGCAGGUUCUCUGGGACUCCAGUCGAGACAUUCAUCCCCUCUUUACCCUAGGAAUGACGUGCAGGAAUGCACGCAGAUAGGAAGGCACACCAGCUGCAGUGCUACACAGUCAGACCAGCACCUCAUGAGUCCUAACCUUCAUCCUUAUCUCAACAUGAAUAUAAACAAGGAAUGGCCAUUAUCUCUGCUGCCUGCUCAGCAGAGUGAGGAAUCAAACCUCACUAAUCAUCACGCAGUCAAGGGGGAAUCUAGUGCUGACAUACACAUUAAUCAUACCAGUCGCUCAUCGGCUCUAAACACACACAUUCUUACUGUUACCGUGAAAGAGGAUAGAGCCUCAACAAAGGUCUUAAACACACACUUGAACGCUCACAAACCUCACAACUCUUGUCCCCGCAGACCUCCUGUGACCGUCAUCCCUCCACAAACACACAAAAACAGCCUGACAGAGAAACUAGAAGCCACACAGGUGACAAAUGCCAGAACACCACACACAAACACUCACUUUAGAUCAUCUCACCAGCCACACCCUCAUGAGAAACAACCAACUCAAGGAAACCAAGUCGCACCUACACACUCAGAGUCCCCCCAGCCACAAAAUGAAACACACAUCAGACCUUUGCAGACUACUAUGAAACAACAAAUGUUCCCCCAAACUAGCACACCGCAGAAAUCCAAUGCACUUUCGAAAUGCCCACGGUUAAAUCAGACAAGCACACUUUCAAAAUCCCCUGCCUGUUUUAAUUUACAUCCAAACGUUAAACGCCAAAGUUGUGUGAAUGAAGGUGUCGUAUCCUCCACUGCUUCAAACAUUCACAGACCGCUUCAAUUCCCUAAUGGAUUAGAGUCCAAGUUUGACACGAACACUAAACCAUCAAUGUGCUCACACACAAAUUUCGGCAUUAAACCUCAAAGCGGGACGGCAAAUCUGUGCUGA
This 1644-nucleotide long non-coding RNA is filed under the name Carassius auratus (goldfish). Its description in RNAcentral is "lncRNA (ENSCARG00000012712.1)". Lineage: Eukaryota; Metazoa; Chordata; Actinopteri; Cypriniformes; Cyprinidae. The record is from RNAcentral.